AGAAAAUAGUAUCGAUUUUGGUUGAUCGAUCAUCGUGUCAACUUGCUGUCUCAUACAAACUCCGCUCCAUGGUGUGUUAUUCCAUGGCCAAUCUGCAUCAUGGCACUCCCUGCAGCAAUAGAAUAUAUUUUGCUCCUGCUAUGUUUCUGCAUUACAUAACUUCUGCAGCAAUAGUGAAUAAUACUCCCUACAGGGUUCUUUCCAUUGGGGAACAUGCAGGAAAAGCCUUGCAUAUUGAAGAUGUUAACUACGAGCAUUGUUGCUGGUAGGAGUUAACUACAAACUGAUCAAACUGAUGAAACUGUACUAAUUUGGCCCAAUCUCCAUCGUUUUUAGAUGAGUUAUAUUGGUUAUGGGUUAGAAGUUAUGUAAACUGAUAUAUUUUGGUUUGAUUUUGGUUUUGAAAAUUAUCAAACCAAUGAAACUUGAAUCAAUGCUUAUUCACAAUAAAGAAGGUGACUGAACAAUUUUAUUGUAAGUCAUGGAAUUUGACAUUUUAUUUUGCUUUUGUCUCUAAUAAUUAUCCUAUAUGCUGUAUGAACG
Molecule: unclassified non-coding RNA, 543 nt
Filed under: Hevea brasiliensis (rubber tree)
Lineage: Eukaryota; Viridiplantae; Streptophyta; Magnoliopsida; Malpighiales; Euphorbiaceae
Source: RNAcentral